AGAUUGAACGCUGGCGGCAUGCUUUACACAUGCAAGUCGAACGGCAGCGCGGGGCAACCUGGCGGCGAGUGGCGAACGGGUGAGUAAUAUAUCGGAACGUACCCAAGAGUGGGGGAUAACGUAGCGAAAGUUACGCUAAUACCGCAUACGAUCUAAGGAUGAGAGCAGGGGACCGCAAGGCCUUGUGCUCCUGGAGCGGCCGAUAUCUGAUUAGCUUAGGUUGGUAGGGUAAAGGCCUACCAAGGCUACGAUCAGUAGCUGGUCUGAGAGGACGACCAGCCACACUGGAACUGAGACACGGUCCAGACUCCCGUACGGGAGGCAGCAGG
RNAcentral lists this ribosomal RNA (329 nucleotides) under uncultured soil bacterium. RNAcentral's name for it is "bacterial SSU rRNA". It matches the Rfam family "Bacterial small subunit ribosomal RNA", at positions 26 to 355 of the family's 1533-position model. The record is from RNAcentral.